GGUAAACGCUGGCGGCGUGCCUAAAACAUGCAAGUCGAACGCACAUCCUUCGGGGUGUGAGUGGCAGACGGCUGAGUAACGCGUGGGUGACGUACCUAUUUGUGGGGAAUAACUGCCCGAAAGGGUGGCUAAUACCGCAUACGCCCGUUGAUACAUUUCGAUGGGGAAAGCCGCAAGGCGCAGAUGGAGCGGCCCGCGUCCGAUUAGCUGGUUGGUGGGUAACGCCUACCAAGGCGACGAUCGGUAGCUGGUCUCAGAGGAUGAUCAGCCAGACUGGGACUGAGACACGGCCCAGACU
This 298-nucleotide ribosomal RNA is filed under the name uncultured bacterium. Its description in RNAcentral is "partial 16S ribosomal RNA". It matches the Rfam family "Bacterial small subunit ribosomal RNA", at positions 28 to 337 of the family's 1533-position model. The record is from RNAcentral.